RNAcentral lists this non-coding RNA (941 nucleotides) under Etheostoma okaloosae (Okaloosa darter). RNAcentral's name for it is "12S ribosomal RNA". It matches the Rfam family "Bacterial small subunit ribosomal RNA". The record is from RNAcentral. Lineage: Eukaryota; Metazoa; Chordata; Actinopteri; Perciformes; Percidae.
AAAGGUUUGGUCCUGACUUUACUAUCAACUUUAGCUAAACUGACACUGCAAGUAUCCGCGUACACGUGAGAAUGCCCUACAGUUCCCCGCCGGGAACAAGGAGCUGGUAUCAGGCACACCACUGCUAGCCCACGACACCUUGCUAAGCCACACCCCCAAGGGAACUCAGCAGUAGAUAAACGAUUAAGCCAUGAGUGAAAACUUGAUUUAGUUAAAGACUAAGAGGGCCGGUAAAUCUCGUGCCAGCCACCGCGGUUAUACGAGAGGCCCAAGCUAGACAGACACCGGCGUAAAGAGUGGUUAGGACUCUUAUACAACUAAAGCCAAACACCUUCAGAGCUGUUAUACGCACCCGAAGGCAAGAAGACCAACUACGAAAGUGGCUUUAUAGCCCUGAACCCACGAAAGCUACGACACAAACUGGGAUUAGAUACCCCACUAUGCCUAGCCGUAAACAUUGGUAGUGUAACACGUCCGCUACCCGCCCGGGUACUACGAGCAUUAGCUUGAAACCCAAAGGACUUGGCGGUGCUUUAGAUCCACCUAGAGGAGCCUGUUCUAGAACCGAUAACCCCCGUUCAACCUCACCUUCCCUUGUUUAUCCCGCCUAUAUACCGCCGUCGUCAGCUUACCCUAUGAAGGUUUAAUAGUAAGCAAGAUUGGCACAGCCUAAAACGUCAGGUCGAGGUGUAGCGUAUGGGAGGGCAAGAAAUGGGCUACAUUUCCUACCAUAGGAAACACGAACGAUGCACUGAAACGUUCAUCUGAAGGGGGAUUUAGCAGUAAGCAGGAAAUAGAGCGUCCCGCUGAAAUUGGCCCUGAAGCGCGCACACACCGCCCGUCACUCUCCCCAAGCAUAAUGUCCAAAGUAACUAAAAAUCUUAUAAUCGCAGAGGGGAGGCAAGUCGUAACAUGGUAAGUGUACCGGAAGGUGCACUUGG